GACGAACGCUGGCGGCGUGCUUAACACAUGCAAGUCGAACGGAAAGGCCCUGCUUUUGUGGGGUGCUCGAGUGGCGAACGGGUGAGUAACACGUGAGUAACCUGCCCUUGACUUUGGGAUAACUUCAGGAAACUGGGGCUAAUACCGGAUAGGAGCUCCUGCUGCAUGGUGGGGGUUGGAAAGUUUCGGCGGUUGGGGAUGGACUCGCGGCUUAUCAGCUUGUUGGUGGGGUAGUGGCUUACCAAGGCUUUGACGGGUAGCCGGCCUGAGAGGGUGACCGGCCACAUUGGGACUGAGAUACGGCCCAGACUCCUACGGGAGGCAGCAGUGGGGAAUAUGGCACAAUGGGCGGAAGCCUGAUGCAGCAACGCCGCGUGCGGGAUGACGGCCUUCGGGUGGGAAACCGCUUUCGCCUGUGGCGAAGCGUGAGUGACGGGAAUGGGUAAAGAAGCACCGGCGAACUACGU
This 467-nucleotide ribosomal RNA is filed under the name uncultured bacterium. RNAcentral describes it as "partial 16S ribosomal RNA". It matches the Rfam family "Bacterial small subunit ribosomal RNA", at positions 28 to 506 of the family's 1533-position model. The record is from RNAcentral.